This is a long non-coding RNA of Cavia porcellus (domestic guinea pig), 2871 nucleotides long. RefSeq lists it as uncharacterized. The record is from RefSeq and is a predicted model, not a curated record. NCBI's taxonomy places the organism in Eukaryota, Metazoa, Chordata, Mammalia, Rodentia, Caviidae. The transcript has 3 exons.
CUUUUCUCCCAAUAAGAGCUAUUAUUAGCGUUUGAAAUGACAGGUUUGGUCGCUUUCAAAAGCAAUAAAAGUGGAUGGUGCUGGUUACGGGAAGACGGCUCCCAAGUGAAGAAGAACUUGUCUCUUCUGGUUCCAGAUGAAACUUAGGAGUGAUUUCUCUAGAUCUACAAGAUUCCCCAUAUCAAGACUGUGGAGAAACAUAGCUGGCAUUUUAGGCGUCUUGUACAUAAUUUUAAUAGUCAGUACCUUGCUCUCCAACUGUAAAGAAUCAAGAAAACAACCUGGUAUUACUUAUGUAGAAUGGUUUGCUAUUAAGAAUGAAUGUCAUGAUUGAAUGAGAGCUGCUGUGACUGGCAGGAUGUAUCUGAGAUGGCUUCCUCUCCCAUGAUUGAUCAAGAGCUUCUGUGAAUGGCAUAAAGGGAUCUGAGAUGAGCCCCUCUCCCCACCAUUCAUUGGGAGCUUCUGUGAAUGGCAGAAAGGUGUCCAAGAUGGACAUCUGCUUCCCACCAUUGACCAGAGCUGCUGAAACUGGUGACAAAGAGAUCCAAGAUGGGUUACUCUCCUUGUGUUGACUGGGAGAUGCUGUAACUGGCAGAAAGGAGUCCAAGACAGGCUUCUGCUCCCUCCAUUGAUGGAACUAAGGAACUGGAGACAGUAGGAAAGAUGGAGGCUCAGUAGAUCUCUGGCUAAUGCACACAUGGUCAACAGGCAGGACUAGAGGUGCAGACAAAUUGGAAUCAACAGUAGAUGAAGUGAGUAACAUCAUGAGCCAGUAGAUGAAGUGUAGAAACCGAUUGGGACUGUGCAAACUGCUAGGAAAAACUGGCUAACUUCACCAUCAUGGGAAUACAGGCCACCACUGGGACUCUCUUCGGUGUAGCCAUUAUGGUCAGGAGAAGCUUCAGCCAUCCCUGCCCCUACAUGAGUCCGCAUGAGCUUGAUGGUUGCCAUUGGGAACUUUUAUCCAGCAUAGGCUAGGAGAACUAGAUAGUCAUGUCUCAGAGAAGCCACACAAGACAGGAAAAGCCUGCCCUGUGCCCCACACUCUCCCCAGGAACAUAGGUUAGGAGAAACUCAGGUGCCUGACCCAUUCCCCUACACUGCAGAUGGAUAGCCUAUAUGGUAAGUGUCUGGAACCCCACAACCAGCUCAUCAGAAAGAAACCAGGAAAAUGUCAAGAUGAAAGAGCCAGCAGCAAUCUCAGGCCUCCAACCCACACAGAACAAGUCCAAGAGAUACAGACAUGGAAGAAAUUAAAAUUUGCAUGCCUGAAAUUUCUAGGACGAUGGCAACUGAAGUAAAGAAAUUACUUCAUGAAGUUGUAAAAGAAAUCAGAUUAGAAAUAACAUUACAGAUAAAAGAAAAAAGGAACAUACUAAAAGGGUUGCUGAGCAUAUCAAAAGAAGACAUAGAUUAAAAGAAAAGCAUAGGAAAAUUAGGGAACCCUUGAAUGAGUAAUACAAGGAAGAAUUACAAUGCAUGAAAAAUUCAGAGAUAUUCAGGAAGUUAAAAUACCAUGAAAAAAAUGCUUGAAAGAAACUGAACAUCGACUCUCAGACUUUGAAGACAGGAUUGCAGCUAGUGAUCACAAAAGAAAAUGUCUUUUAAAAACAACAAGGAACCAGAAAAUAACAAUUUAAUGGCUGUAAGGUGAUGCAAAAAUAAUGUAAUAAUGAUAGUUGUCUGUGAAAAUCAGAGGUCUACACAAAUGACAUAAAAGGACUAUUCACAAGGGUAAUAACAGAAAACUUCCCAAGCAUUGGAAAAAGACCUGACAUACAGAUAAAUGAGGCAUAUAGCACUCCAGCUAACAUAUCUAUACCCAGGUAUAUAAUAAUAAAUAUCCUAGAAAUCCAGCACAAGAAUGGGAAUAUUAAAAGCUGCUGAAAGAAAAGAAACAAAUCACCUAGAAAAGAAAACCCUUCAAAAUCAUGACAGACUUCUCAACAAAAACCAUCAAGUCAAGAAGAACUUGGGGUGAAGUAUUUCAAGUCCUGAAACAAAACAACUUCCAGCCCAGAUUCAUGUAUCCUGCAAAACUAUCUUCAAAACCAACGGAGGAACAAGAUACUUCCAUGACAAAGAAUAGCUGAAGGAACUCAUGACCUCAAGUCAAUGCUACAAAAAAUACUGAAGGACAUACUAUAGAGAGAUAAAAAUGAUCACAGUUCCAGGAACAGUGGCAGAAGGGGAUUUCUAAGUGGGGCAAGCAAGUCAGUGGAGGAGAAAAGUAGGAAGCCAAUGACAGGAAAAUAUCAGGGCAGAGAAGAACCAGUGCUUAUUGGUCAUAGCCACUAAUGUGAUGGCCUCAAUACAGCAAUUAAAAGAAACAGAUGGAAUGGAUCAAGAAACAAGAUCCAUGUAUAUGCUGUAUACAAGAAACACAUUUGACUUGAAAGGAAAUUCAUAGACUGAAAAUCAAAGGAGAAAAAAGAUUGCUCCAUGCAACAGAGAAUCAGAAAAAAGCAGGAGUAUCUCGCCCAUCAAGCACAGAAUGGAUAAGAAAAAUAUGGCAUUUUUAUACAAUAGAAAGCUACUUAACUAUAAAGAAGUAUAAUCAUGAGGCUCUCAUAGGUAAAUGGAUACAACUUGAGAUCAUGCUUGAGGGUGAAGUGGUUCAGACUACAUGAGUGAACACUGUUUUGUCUCCUGAGUAUAAAAACUGAAGUAUUCAGUGGUACCUAAAAUGUACAAUAGAUAUUGUGAAAGUGAAAGGGGAAGAGACAUCUCAAAAGGUAAGAUGGUAGCCAUUAUUAAUUUCGUAUUAUCUUGUUUUGAAACCCUGUAUCAUUUUAAUUGCUCUGCUUUGUUUGAUUUUAUUCUGUUUUGUGUUGAUUUUCUUAAUCUGAUGUUUCAGGAAGGCAUUCUGAA